GCCGAGGUAGCUCAGUUGGUAGAGCAUACGCCUGAAGAGCGUGUGGUCGGCGGUUCGAGCCCGCCCCUCGGCA
Molecule: transfer RNA, 73 nt
Filed under: Candidatus Yonathbacteria bacterium
Lineage: Bacteria; Candidatus Yonathiibacteriota
Description: tRNA-Phe
Rfam family: tRNA
About the family: Transfer RNA (tRNA) molecules are approximately 80 nucleotides in length. Their secondary structure includes four short double-helical elements and three loops (D, anti-codon, and T loops).
Source: RNAcentral